This 72-nucleotide small nucleolar RNA is filed under the name Loxodonta africana (African savanna elephant). Its description in RNAcentral is "Small nucleolar RNA SNORD112 (ENSLAFG00000033066.1)". Lineage: Eukaryota; Metazoa; Chordata; Mammalia; Proboscidea; Elephantidae. The record is from RNAcentral.
UGAACCAAUGAUGAGAAUGUGUCAUUAACCAAGGUUUAUGAUUAAUCUAAAUCUGUAUACCUGAGGUCCACA